AAUCGUAACAACCGUUCUUCUUUACAUCAUUCGGGUGCUUUUUAUUACAUCAAAUUGUUCAAAGUUGUAAACUGCUGAACACAUUUCUUUUCCCACGUCAAGUUUUGACCAAAAUUUGGUUAUUGCUAAAGAUUCUGGUUCACACAAAUACGAAGUCGUGAAUGGUAUUAAUAUAUAUGCGAACCUUUAUGGUUAUUUCGGGUUAAUAAUUUAUCUUUUAUGUAGUUUGAAAGUUCCAGUAUCCUAAAAGUCUAACAGUCUAAAAACAAAACAAAAUUAAAUGUCCGUCAAGUUGGUGUCGGCACAUUAUGCUAGGACUCUACAAUUAGUAUCAAUAUUUUGCUAGAAAUUGAAUUUAUAAGAAUUGAUCUUUUCUUCAUGCCUUCGUUGUUUG
Non-coding RNA from Cinara cedri, 394 nucleotides. The record is from the annotation of a GenBank genome assembly. Lineage: Eukaryota; Metazoa; Arthropoda; Insecta; Hemiptera; Aphididae.